This 139-nucleotide unclassified non-coding RNA is filed under the name Oryza sativa (Asian cultivated rice). RNAcentral's name for it is "partial microRNA MIR455b-27 precursor". The record is from RNAcentral. Lineage: Eukaryota; Viridiplantae; Streptophyta; Magnoliopsida; Poales; Poaceae.
CUCCGUUUCAUAAUGUAAUUCAUUCUUGCAUUUCUCACAUUCAUAUUGAUUUAAUGAAUCUAGAUAGAUAUAUAUGUCUAGAUUUAUCAACAUCAAUAUGAAUGUGGGAAAUGCUAGAAUGACUUACAUUGUGAAAAAG